This 2631-nucleotide ribosomal RNA is filed under the name Triticum aestivum (bread wheat). RNAcentral's name for it is "partial small subunit ribosomal RNA". The record is from RNAcentral. Lineage: Eukaryota; Viridiplantae; Streptophyta; Magnoliopsida; Poales; Poaceae.
GCGCACAGCCUGCGCCGCCUCCUCCCACCCAUCUCAAGUCGUUUCCAAUAAAACGCGCUACCUCUAUGUCCCCGCACCACACCACCUCCAUCUCCAUGGACACCUCCACCCUCGCCGCCGUCGCUUCCUUCGUCGCCUUCUCCACGAAGCCCCGCCUCCUCCCGCCACUCAACCCCUCUCGCAGCCUUCCACGCACCCGCGGCUCCCUUGCCGUCUGCUGCUCUCACUCCCACGCCUCUCCUCCGCCCUCGCCCCUCCCGUGCACUGCGUCCGAUGAGGAGGAGGUCGCUCCUCCGCGCCUCCGCCUCCGCCUGCUCGCCGAGGAGUUCGGCGCUCUCCCGGACGCCGACCGCGCGCGCCGCCUGCUCGCGUACGCGGCCGCGCUCCCGCGGCUGCCCCAGGCGGACCGCGUCGCGGCCAACCGCGUCAUGGGGUGCGUCACGCAGGUCUGGCUCCUGGGCAGCUGCGACCGCUCGGGACGCAUGCGGUUCGCGGCCGACUCCGACUCCGAGCUCUCGCGCGGGUACUGUUCCUGCCUCGUCUCCGCGCUCGACGGCGCGGGCCCCGAGGAGGUGCUCGACGUGGACCCCGCCGAUCUCGCGCCGCUCGGUGUGGCCGCGGGGGCGCGGUCCCGGGUCAAUACGUGGCACAACGUGCUCGUCGGCAUGCAGAAGCGGGCGCGGGCAGCCAUUGCGGCGCGCGAGGGCAGGCGUCCUGGGGAGCCGUUCCCGUCGCUCGUGAUCGGCCGGGACGGCGCCGUCCGCGCGCAAGGAAGCUACGCCGAGGCCAAGGCGAAGUUUUUAUCUCCUGACCAGUCCAAGAUUUCCGAGCUUGUGAAUGCCCUCAGAGAGAAACAAAUUGGAAUUGUGGCCCAUUUCUACAUGGAUCCUGAGGUGCAAGGCAUACUAACUGCUGCAAAGAGGCAAUGGCCCCACAUUCACAUAUCCGACUCAUUGGUAAUGGCAGAUAGUGCUGUUCAGAUGGCUGAAGCAGGAUGCAAAUAUAUUGCUGUGCUAGGUGUUGACUUCAUGUCGGAAAAUGUCCGUGCAAUACUUGAUCAAGCAGGAUUUACUCAGGUUGGUGUUUAUAGAAUGUCCAGCGAGCAAAUAGGCUGUUCCUUGGCAGAUGCUGCUUCAAGUUCUGCUUAUACACAUUUUCUUAAGACGGCAUCAAGAUCUCCUCCUUCUUUACAUGUCAUUUAUAUCAAUACCUCGCUGGAAACAAAAGCUCAUACUCAUGAACUUGUUCCUACGAUAACCUGUACCUCUUCCAAUGUUGUUGCAACUAUACUACAGGCAUUUGCCGAAAUACCAGAUCUUAAUGUCUGGUAUGGUCCUGAUUCCUAUAUGGGUGCGAACAUAGCAGACCUAUUUAAGAGAAUGACUAUCAUGUCAGAUGAAGAGAUUACAGAGAUACAUCCAGAUCACAACAGGAAAACUAUAAGUUCAUUAUUACAACGUCUUCAUUACUAUCAGAAUGGUAACUGUAUUGUGCAUGAUAUGUUUGGCCAUGAAGUUGUGGAAAAAAUAAAGGAGGAAUACUGUGAUGCAUUUCUAACUGCACACUUUGAAGUCCCAGGAGAAAUGUUCUCUUUGUCAAUGGAAGCAAAGACGAGAGGAAUGGGAGUAGUUGGAUCCACUCAGAAUAUCUUAGAUUUCAUUAAAUACCAUUUGAAGCAAGCUCUGGAUCGGAAUGUUGAUGAUCAUCUUCAGUUUGUAUUGGGAACAGAAUCAGGAAUGAUCACUUCGAUUGUUGCUGCUGUCCGGCAAUUAUUUGACUCCUAUGAAUCUUCCAAAGAAGGUGCUAGCAUUGAAGUAGAAAUUGUGUUCCCUGUUUCGUCAGACGCAAUUUCUAAGACAUCUAUUGAUGAUUCCCAAGAUUCCGGCUCUUCAGUAGCGAAUGAUUUAGAACAGAUUAAUAUUGUGCCUGGUGUGUUUUCUGGUGAAGGGUGCUCUAUCCAUGGUGGCUGUGCGUCAUGCCCUUACAUGAAGAUGAAUUCUCUCGAGUCGCUACUUAAAAUCUGCCAGCAGCUUCCUGGUGAAGACAACAGUUUAUCUGUUUAUCAGGCUAGUCGAUUGAAUGCUAAGACUUCCCUUGGGAAAUUGGUUGCGGAGGUUGGGUGUGAGCCAAUUUUGCAUAUGAGGCAUUUCCAGGCGACAAAGAGAUUACCAGACAAGCUCGUUCACCAGGUUAUCCAUGGUAACGGAGGGGAACCUUUAUGAUGGCCGGUCCUCAGAAUCUUCCCUGUCAACUUUAUUCAGUAUCCGACUUUGCACCAAGUGUUGUUAUCCCGUUACUGAUAAUUACCGGUGGAGUAACAUUCACAGAGUCUGCAAUGGUAGAUAUAUUGGCUGACCAAUUGUUAUUUGUCUCAGCCAAAAUGUUUCUCGUGUAUGUUUGAUGUCAGAUAUAUAAAUGGGCGGCAUACGAGUAUACCUGUAACGGGGCGGCAUACGAGUAUACCUGAAGCUUUUAUCCUCGUGUUGUAAAAUGUCCUAACGAAAUCUCGCGUCGCGGCAUGCUGUGAAUCUGAGGGAGCACUGGCUGUAUACGAGCCGGUGCCGUCUACAGGAAUUAUGGGCCCUGCGCAAAAAGCAAAAUGGGGCUGUAAAAUUUGAAAUUGAGUUGAUG